Molecule: ribosomal RNA, 734 nt
Filed under: uncultured bacterium
Lineage: Bacteria
Description: bacterial SSU rRNA
Rfam family: Bacterial small subunit ribosomal RNA
Source: RNAcentral
CCUGGCAUCUACAGGGGGAUAACUGAUGGAAACGUCAGCUAAGACCGCAUAGGUGUAGAGAUCGCAUGAACUCUAUAUGAAAAGUGCUACGGGACUGGUAGAUGAUGGACUUAUGGCGCAUUAGCUGGUUGGUAGGGUAACGGCCUACCAAGGCGACGAUGCGUAGCCGACCUGAGAGGGUGACCGGCCACACUGGGACUGAGACACGGCCCAGACUCCUACGGGAGGCAGCAGUAGGGAAUUUUCGGCAAUGGGGGAAACCCUGACCGAGCAACGCCGCGUGAAGGAAGAAGUAAUUCGUUAUGUAAACUUCUGUCAUAGAGGAAGAACGGUGGAUAUAGGGAAUGAUAUCCAAGUGACGGUACUCUAUAAGAAAGCCACGGCUAACUACGUGCCAGCAGCCGCGGUAAUACGUAGGUGGCGAGCGUUAUCCGGAAUUAUUGGGCGUAAAGAGGGAGCAGGCGGUACUAAGGGUCUGUGGUGAAAGAUCGAAGCUUAACUUCGGUAAGCCAUGGAAACCGUAGAGCUAGAGUGUGUGAGAGGAUCGUGGAAUUCCAUGUGUAGCGGUGAAAUGCGUAGAUAUAUGGAGGAACACCAGUGGCGAAGGCGACGAUCUGGCGCAUAACUGACGCUCAGUCCCGAAAGCGUGGGGAGCAAAUAGGAUUAGAUACCCUAGUAGUCCACGCCGUAAACGAUGAGUACUAAGUGUUGGGAGUCAAAUCUCAGUGCUGCAG